GCCUCGAUAGUAUAAAAGACUAUUACUCUGGUCUUGUAAAUCAGCAAUGAAGACCUGACAGAACUUCUCGUGGCA
This 75-nucleotide transfer RNA is filed under the name Akodon montensis. RNAcentral's name for it is "tRNA-Thr". Lineage: Eukaryota; Metazoa; Chordata; Mammalia; Rodentia; Cricetidae. The record is from RNAcentral.